Molecule: long non-coding RNA, 8629 nt
Filed under: Gossypium barbadense (sea-island cotton)
Lineage: Eukaryota; Viridiplantae; Streptophyta; Magnoliopsida; Malvales; Malvaceae
Description: long non-coding RNA (GBAR_LNC006357)
Source: RNAcentral
GACGACUUUGACUUUGGAUCUCCCAAAUCCGAUAGUUCACGAACAAAAUCUAUAAAACAGGGAAUGAAGGCAAAAAGAGUAAGCAUUUCGAUGCUUAGUAAGUCUUAAGUAAUGAAAUCAUUUAUAACUAAAGCAUAGCAUUCAUAAGGCUCAUCAUCUUUCUGACUAAAUGUAGUCAUGAUUAAAUAUACCUCUAUCGUUCAUACAUGUCAUCUUAAAUUUUUCCUUAAACACGAAUUCGUAUCAUGUAGAUAAUCUCUUUUUACCCAACUAACCUCAUAAUUAUGCCGAAUACAUCUAAUUCGAUUACAAGGCUAAAUAAAUGCAAAUACGCAAAAAUCACAUACUUAUGUUACUUCACACUUCAACCCAUAUACUUACAUGCUCAUAGUCAAUCUUAACUUAAUUUCAAUGUAUAUACGGUGCAUACCUGAUCAUCUUAGGGUUGUAAGCCCAUCAAUAGAAGUUAUUACGACAAGAUCGCACAUUUCCAACCCAAUUGCCUUCGGGAUUUAGCCCGGAUGUAACAACCAGCACAAAUGCCUUCGGGACUUAACCCGGAAAUAGCGACCAGCACAAAUGCCUUCGGGGCUUAACCCGGAAAUAACAACCAGCACGAAUGCCUUCGGGACUUAUCCCGGAAAUAACAACCAGCACGAAUGCCUUCGGGACUUAACCCGGAUAUAAUCCUCAACUGUCAUGCACAAAAUAUAUUUAUAUUAUAAAUCAUUAACAAUUCAUUUACAUUAUUAGAUCACAAACACAACAUGAUUAUCCAUCAUUCAUUUUCGGCUCAACAGCUCAUACAAAUGACACGAUUCCGUUUCGCUACUCUACAUGAGUUUCUAUAACCAUUCGAUUACAAGCCGAUGCACUACCCAUUUAUUUCAAUAUGUAAAUCAAGAGAAACCAUCAGGUCACAAUUUAUUUAUUGUGCUAUAUAUAUAAAUAUAUAACAUUGUUUAAUCAAAUCAUAAGCUAAGUUCCAUUACUCAAAGACUUACCUCGGAUUUAUUUGAACAACUACGGAUAGGCUACUCGAUUGCUUUCUCUUUUCCCUUUUUCGAAAUUGCCCCCCUAUGCUCUUGAGCUUUAAAGCAACAAAUUUUAAACUAAACAUUAAUCGACUAUUCAAAUAUUAUUUUCAGAAUAUAAUACAUAUAUAUUCGACUUUCACACAUACAGAUUAUAGUAAGCUUAUAAGAAAACAUUAAGCAACUCCUUAACAAAAUUUUAUCAAUGAUUACCCCAUAAUCACAAAAUUCACAAUAAGCUAUCUUCUUGAGCAAUAGUCACUAAAUUAUUUAUAACUGGAGCUACAAAACUCCAAAUCAAUUGCCGUAAAAUUUCCCUGAAAAUAGACUCAAAUAUAUUUUAUCCAUAAAAUUUUCAGAAUUUUUAGUUUGGCCAAUCAAUACCAGAUUUUUCUUAAAGUUUCCCUUGUUUCACUAUUUGACUAAUCUGACCACUCUUCACUACGAAAUAAAUUUCUCAUUGUACAGAAUUCAAAACAUGUCCUUGUUUAUUUCAUUUGAAACUAGACUCAUUAAGGAGUCUAAGCAUAUAAAUUUCAUUAUUUUACUAUUUUUAUACGUUUUAUAGUGAUUUUAUAAAUACAGAACAGGGGAUCUAGAAGUCAUUUUGACUCUGUCCCACAUUACUUCAAUUAUCUCAUUAUCGGAAAUUAUUUUGCUAUUAUAGUUUCUUUUAUAAGAAACUAGACUCAUCAAGCUUUAAUUACAUAAUUUAUUCAGCUUCUAACUCAACUCCCACAAUUUAUAGUGAUUUUUCCAAAAUCACUUUACUGUUGCUGUCCUAAAAAGAUUAUUGCCAAUUCACUCUUUCCCACAUUCUUUGUAGACAUAUUAUUUAAUUAUUUAUCACCCUAGAUAUUAUUAGCUAAAUAGAUCAAUUGCACAUAUAUACCGCCAAGACCGUACCUAAUAAUUUUACUUAUACAUAACAUUACUCAAAUUCUUCGAAAUCAUACUAACAAAAAUAUCAUGUACUAUGCCGAACCUUUAGGAAAUCAAGCACCUAAUUUAUCCAUUUCAAAACACCUAAUCGGCAUUUGAUCAAGACAUUAAGCAAAGUCUAGGUUUGGCUAUUACACAUAUGAGUAUUAGAAAUUAUAGUUUUUAAUAAGAUCAACUUCUUUCAUCAACAAUUUCUUCAUCAAAACUUAAAGAUAAAAAUCAAAUUCCUUCAUUAUCUACCAUAACCGAAUGUUCAAUUCAACCAUCCAAAUUCAAAGUUUUGGCAUGGGCUAAGUAAGUAGCAUGAUGAGUAACCUAAAAAAAACUAGAAUUUCAAAAAUCUAACUUGAUUUACUAACCUUCCUUAGGUUUCAAAUGGCUUAAUGUUUGCUCCCCUUUUUCUCCCUUUUGGUUCGGCUAAGAAGAACAAAGUUAAGACUUUGUUUUCUUCCCAUUCUUUCUAUUAUUAUUUUAAUUUUAUUCAUCUAUACUAUAAAAUAUUAAGCCAUUAACUAAUAAUUAAUACAUAUUUUUAUCUAUCACUUCAUCAUGGCCGGCCACUACUUGUCAAAAAUGGAUAUUUGACAUGCAAACCCAUCCUUUGUCUAACAUGCAUUAUUACACCACUUUGAGAUUAACCUAUCAUCUUUCACAUUUAUUUCACAUGAGUCCUAUUUAAUCUAUUUCACAUACAAAUGAUAAAAUUAAAACAUGAAACUUUCACACGUGUAUGUACGCAUACAGUAAGCAUAGAUUAUAACGGUUAAUUAUUUUUAUGACUCGGUUUUGUGGUCCCGAAACCACUUCUGACUAGGGCCAAAUUAGGGCUGUCACAACUCUCCCCCUCUUAAGGAAUUUUCGUCCCCGAAAAUCUUACCAGUGAAUAGAUUUGGGUAUCGUUCUUUCAUAGAUUUCUCGAUUUCCCAUGUAGCUUCUUCGAUCCCGUGUUUGAGCCAUAACACCUUUACUAACGGAACCUUUUUGUUUCGCAACUCUUUCACCUCGCGAGCUAGGAUACGAAUCGGUUCUUCUUCAUAACUCAAAUCAGAUUGAAUUUCAACCUCUGAUGGGUUAAUUAUGUGCGAUGGAUCGGAUCUAUAACGUUGAAGCAUCGAGACAUGAAAAACGUUGUGAAUCUUUUCAAGUUCAGGGGGUAAAAUCAAUCUGUAUGCGACUGGCCCAAUUCGUUUGGAUAUCUCAUACGGCCCGAUGAACCUCGGGCUCAAUUUGCCUUUACGGCCAAAUCUGAGCACCUUUUUCCAAGGUGAAACUUUAAGAAAUACUUUGUCUUCAACCUGAUAUUCAAUGUCUUUUCGUUUUAAAUCCGCAUACGACUUCUGACCAUCCGAAGCUGCCUUCAGACUUUCACGGAUUACGUUUACUUUUUGCUCAGCAUCUUUAAUCAAAUCAACCCCGAAGAUUUUACUUUCACUAAGCUCAGUCCAAAACAACGGUGUAUGGCAUUUACGACCGUACAAAGCCUCGUAAGGUGCAAUCUUAAUGCUUGAUUGAAAACUAUUGUUAUAUGCGAAUUCAACCAAAGGUAAAUAUCGUUCCCAUGAACCACUAAACUCAAGGAUGCAACAUCUCAACAUAUCCUCGAGUAUCAGAAUUAUCCGCUCAGAUUGACCAUCAGUCUGGGGAUGAAAAGCAGUGCUAAAAUGCAACUUGGUACCCAAAGCUUCUUGCAAUUUCUUCCAAAAUCGUGAUGUGAAUCUCAGAUCUCUAUCUGACACAAUAGAAAUAGGUACCCCAUGUAACCUUACGAUCUGAGAGAUGUACAAUUCAGCUAGUUUGUCGAGUGAAUAAUCUGUACGUACAAGAAUAAAAUGAGCCGACUUUGUCAAUCUAUCAACAAUGACCCAAAUCGCAUCUUUCUUACUUGGCGAUAAUGGCAACCCAGAUACAAAAUCCAUUGUAAUUCGAUCCCAUUUCCAUUCAGGUAUCAAGAUUGGCUGAAGUAACCCCGAAGGCACUUGGUGUUCUGCUUUCACUUGUUGACAUAUCAAACACUUCGAAACAAAAUCAGAAAUGUCUCGUUUCAUACUAGGCCACCAAAACUGACGUCUCAAAUCAUUGUACAUUUUUGUACUCCCCGGGUGAACUGACAUUCGGCUACUAUGAGCCUCGCUCAAAAUUAUUGAAAUAAGUUUCGACUUUCUUGGAAUACAUAAUCGACUUCUGAACCUCAGGCAAUCAUUGUCGUUGAUUUGAAACUCUGAUUCAACAUUUGAGACACAUUCGGUUCGUUUAAUAACCAAUUCUUCAUCGACUUUCUGAGCUUCACGAAUUUGAUGAAUCAAUAAUGGUUUAGCCUUUAAUUCUGCUACUAACACAUUAUCGGAUGUCACGGACAGAUGUACAUUCAUCGCUAGCAAAGUAAACAGUGAUUUACGACUUAAAGCAUCGGCAACUACGUUAGCCUUUCCCGGGUGAUAAUCAAUGACAAGCUCGUAGUCUUUCAACAACUCAAGCCAAUGUUUUUGUCAUAGAUUCAAAUCUCUUUGAGUCAUCAAAUAUUUGAGGCUUUUGUGAUUCGAAUACACAUGACACUUCUCUCCAAACAAGUAAUGUCGCCAGAUUUUUAAAGCGAAGACGAUGGCAACUAAUUCGAGAUCAUUGGUCGGAUAGGUUUUCUCAUGUGGCUUUAAUUGCCUCGACGCGUAAGCUACAACUCGACCUUCUUGCAUCAACACACAACCCAGCCCAAGUAAGGAUGCAUCACUGUAAAUGACAAACUCUUUACCGGAUUCGGGCUGCACUAGCACUGGAGCUUCAGUCAGAUAGGUUCUUAGUUGGUCGAAACUUUUCUGGAACUUUUCUGACCAUUCGAACUUAACAUCUUUCUAAAGUAGGUUCGUCAUUGGUGUAGCCAUCAUCGAAAAACCUUUUACAAACCGUCUGUAGUAACUGGCAAGUCCCAAAAAGCUCCGAACUUCAGUAACAUUUCUAGGAGGCUUCCAAUCAAGUAUGGCUGAUAUUUUACUUGGAUCAACCCUAAUACCCGAUGCGGAUACUACAUGUCCCAAAAAGCUAACUUCUUUCAACCAGAAUUCGCACUUACUGAACUUAGCAUAUAACUGCUUGUCCCGUAAAAUCUGCAACACUAAUCUCAGGUGCUCGGCAUGUUCGUUUUCAUCUCGUGAAUAAAUCAAGAUGUCAUCUAUAAACACAACUACAAACCGGUCCAAAUAUUGUCUGAAAAUUCGAUUCAUCAAGUCCAUAAAUACCGCAGGGGCAUUAGUGAGCCGAAACGGCAUUACUAAGAACUCGUAGUGACCGUAUCUCAUUCUAAAAGCAGUUUUGGGUAUAUCUGAGUCUCGAACUCGCAACUGAUAGUAACCCGAUCUCAAAUCUAUCUUUGAAAACACUGAGGCUCCCUUCAGCUGAUCAAACAAAUCAUCAAUACGUGGUAAUGGAUAUUUAUUCUUUAUGGUCACUUUAUUCAAUUGACGAUAGUCGAUGCACAUUCUCAUGGUUCCGUCUUUCUUUUUCACAAACAAUACUGGUGCACCUCAUGGUGAAAAACUCGGUCGAGCGAAACCUUUAUCCGUCAACUCUUACAACUGAGCUUUCAAUUCCUUUAAUUCGGCUGGUGCCAUACGAUACAGAGCUAUUAAAAUCGGUGUAGUCCCAGAUACAAGUUCAAUGCCAAACUCUACUUCCCGAACAGGUGGCAACCCCGGUAAUUCUUCGGGAAAAACAUCUGGAUAUUCACAAACCACUGGCACUAAUUCAAGCUUCUUUUCUAAUUCUUUACUAUCAAGUACGUACGUAAGAUACGCUUCACACCCCUUUCUUACAUAUUUUUGAGCCGACAUCGAGGAUAUUAUUAUUGCUGACAAUCCGUUCAAAUCACUAGACUCAACUCGGAUUACCUCCUUAUUUGUACAUCUCAAAUCAAUGGUCUUACUUUUGCAAUUCACCACUGCAUCAUGUACGGUCAACCAAUCCAUACCGAGGAUAACAUCAAAUUCAUCAAACGGUAAAAGCAUCAAAUCAGCCGGAAAACAGGAAUCUCGGAUUAUUAAGGGGCAUUUCUUACACACCUUAUCGACAAACACAUAUUGACCCAAGGGAUUUGACACCCUAAUAACAAAUCCAGUAGACUCAACAGGUAAAGUCUUACUGGAUGCAAAAGUCUCACAUAUAUAAGAAUGAGUAGAACCAGGGCAAUCAAAGCAAUCACAUCAGUAUCAAAGAGAGUGAAAGUACCGAUAAUAACAUCAGGUGAAGAAGCAUCCUCGCGUGCACGUAUAGCAUAAGCUCUAGCAGGAGCACGAGCCUCAGAUCUGGUCGUAGCAUCUUUAGACCCUCUCUGACCGCUACUAGCAUUCCCCGCAUUCCUCAAUGGUCUACCUCGAGCUAUAGCAGUACCCGGUUUCCCACUCUGAUUCACAUUUUGUUCUGACAGCUUUGGGCAAUCUUUGAUGAAAUGAUUGGGUGAUCCGCAUCUAUAACAAGAAUGAUCAUGAAAUCUACAACUCCUCGAAUGCCAUUUUCCACAAAAUCUGCACUCGAUCCUAUCUCUUCGGUCAUUUCCAACACUAGCAUCUGAGGUGACUCGCGUACUCAUAGGAGGUCGAUCACGGUCUCGUCUAGAAAAACCUGUAAUGUUUUUAGAUCGACCAAAAUCAUCUCAAAAUUUCUUCGAUGAUUGCUGAAAAGGAUUUCCCGAAGAUCUUUUAUGAAACUCUCUAGUUCCAACAUCAGCUUUCCUUUUUUCAUUACUAAGCUCCUCGGCUUUGCAAGCUCGCUCAACUAGUACCACGAACUCUCUGAUUUCAAGAAUACCAACAAACAUUUUAAUAUCUUUAUUUAACCCGUCUUCAAAGCGUUUACACAUAAUAGCCUCAGACGAUACACAUUCCUGAGCAUAUCUGCUAAGUCGGACGAACUUCCGUUCAAAUUCAGUAACUGACAUGGAACCUUGUUUAAGUUCAAGAAAUUCUUUCUGCUUCUGAUCAAUGAACCUCUGACUAAUAUAUUUUUUUCGAAAUUCAGUUUGGAAGAACUCCCACGUCACCCGCUCUCUGGGUACAACAGAAACCAACGUAUUCCACAAAUAAUAGGCGGAAUUACGUAGCAAAGAUAUAGCACACUUUAGGCAUUCAUCGGGUGUGCAAAAUAGUUCAUCAAGUACUCGAAUGAUAUUGUCCAACCAAAAUUCAGCUUGCUCGGCAUCAUCACAGUCUGUAGCUUUAAAUUCAGUAGCCCCGUGCUUUCGAAUUCUGUCAACCGGGGGCUUGUUCAACUUCAUCUGAUCAAUUACAGGAGGUAUUGUGGGUGCAGGGGGUGUAUUUGUUGGAAAUGGGGGUUGUGGAGCAGCCGUAUUAGUUCGAAUGUAUUGGUUAAACCAAUCAUUCAUCAUGUUAUAAAAGGCUUGUCUAGCCUCGUCAUUUUGAUUGCUUGCUAUAGGUUGAGAGUCUAUCGGCGCGAUCCCGCGUGCAGGAGUAGGCGCUACACUCUCAACAUUAUCAGCUAUCACUCGAUCGGGAUCCAUUACUAUACAAAAUAAAACAUUUUUAAUUGUCAGAAAUCGCCACACUAUCGUAUUAACACAUAAUGGCAUGUAUAGCUAGACCCCAAAUGUUUUACAGUAGUCCUAGAAUCGACAAAACCGUGGCUUUGAUACUAAUAAAAUGUAACACCCCUAACCCGUAUCCGUCGCCGGAGGGGGUAAGGAAUAUUACCAAAUAAGUACGAAAAUUCAUUUGACAAUACUCAGGUAAUUUCCGAUAGCAUACCUUCGAAUUCGAAUUUCGUUUAUACACUAUGCAAAGCAAUCUUCUCAAUUUAAAUAGUACCUUAAUUCAUUCCUAAGUUUAAUUCACAUCAAAACAUUUAAAACAUUAAUCGAUUAUCAUCCACACAUACACAUUAAUUAUGUGGAGCGCAUAUAAUAACUUAACAAGCCAUUUUUGCAUGGCUAUACAUAUAUACAUCACCAAAAAGAUACGUAAUUAACAUCAAAAGUCAAUCCUAUACAUGCCAUUAUCAAGGUUGAUUUACAAGAGUACCGAAAGGUUUAGAUAGUGUGGACGACUUUGACUUUGGAUCUCCCAAAUCCGAUAGUUCACGAACAAAAUCUAUAAAACAGGGAAUGAAGGAAAAAAGAGUAAGCAUUUCGAUGCUUAGUAAGUCUUAAGUAAUGAAAUCAUUUAUAACUAAAGCAUAGCAUUCAUAAGGCUCAUCAUCUUUCUGACUAAAUGUAGCCAUGAUUAAAUAUACCCCUAUCGUUCAUACAUGUCAUCUUAAAUUUUUCCUUAAACACGAAUUCGUAUCAUGUAGAUAAUCUCUUUUUACCCAACUAACCUUAUAAUUAUGCCGAAUACAUCUAAUUUGAUUACAAGGCUAAAUAAAUGCAAAUACGCAAAAAUCACAUACUUAUGUUACUUCACACUUCAACCCAUAUACUUACAUGCUCAUAGUCAAUCUUAACUUAAUUUCAAUGUAUAUACGAUGCAUACCUGAUCAUCUUAGGGUUGUAAGCCCAUCAAUAGAAGUUAUUACGACAAGAUCGCACAUUUCCAACCCAAUUACCUUCGGGAUUUAGCCCGGAUGUAACAACCAGCACAAAUGCCUGCGGGACUUAACCCGGAAAUAGCGACCAGCACGAAUGCCUUCGGGGCUUAACCCGGAAAUAACAACCA